RNAcentral lists this ribosomal RNA (479 nucleotides) under uncultured bacterium. RNAcentral describes it as "partial 16S ribosomal RNA". It matches the Rfam family "Bacterial small subunit ribosomal RNA", at positions 28 to 507 of the family's 1533-position model. The record is from RNAcentral.
GAUGAACGCUAGCGGGAGGCCUAACACAUGCAAGCCGAGCGGUAGAGUUCCUUCGGGAAUUUGAGAGCGGCGUACGGGUGCGUAACACGUGUGCAACCUACCUUUAUCUGGGGGACAGCCUUUCGAAAGGAAGAUUAAUACCCCAUAAUAUAAUGAUUGGCAUCAAUUAUUAUUGAAAACUCCGGUGGAUAGCGCUGGUCACGCGCAAGAUUAGAUAGUUGGUGAGGCAACGGCACACCAAGACAAUGAUCUUUAGGGGUUCUGAGAGUGAGAUCCCCCACACUGGGACUUAGACACAGACCAGACUCCUACGGGAGGCAGCAGUGUGGAAGAUUGGACAAGGGGUGAAAGCCGGAUCCAGCCAUCCCGCGUGAAGGAUGACGGUCCUAUGGAUAGUAAACUUCUUGUGGACAGAGAUAAACCUACUCUCGAGACAGUAGCUGAAGGUACUGGACGAAUAAGCACCGGCUAACUCCGUG